Molecule: non-coding RNA, 48 nt
Filed under: Schistosoma mansoni
Lineage: Eukaryota; Metazoa; Platyhelminthes; Trematoda; Strigeidida; Schistosomatidae
Source: RNAcentral
AUCCAGCUGAUGAGUCCCAAAUAGGACGAAACACGCUUCAAACUGUAU